This 428-nucleotide ribosomal RNA is filed under the name uncultured bacterium. RNAcentral's name for it is "partial 16S ribosomal RNA". It matches the Rfam family "Bacterial small subunit ribosomal RNA", at positions 354 to 796 of the family's 1533-position model. The record is from RNAcentral.
GUAGGGAAUAUUGCGCAAUGGACGAAAGUCAGACGCAGCGACGCCGCGUGAGUGAUGAAGGCCUUAGGGUCGUAAAGCUCUGUUGAAUGGGAAGAAAAAAAUGACGGUACCAUUCGAGGAAGGACCGGCUAACUUCGUGCCAGCAGCCGCGGUAAUACGAGGGGUCCUAGCGUUGUUCGGAAUCAUUGGGCGUAAAGGGUGUGUAGGUGGCCAUGUAAGUCAGGUGUGAAAGCCCCGGGCUCAACCCGGGAAGUGCACUUGAUACUGCGUGGCUUGAGUACCGAAGAGGGUAGUGGAAUUCCAGGUGUAGUGGUGAAAUACGUAGAUAUCUGGAGGAACACCGGUGGCGAAGGCGGCUACCUGGUCGAGUACUGACACUGAGACACGAAAGCAUGGGGAUCAAACAGGAUUAGAAACCCUGGUAGUCC